CCUACGGGUGGCUGCAGUGGGGAAUAUUGGACAAUGGGGGGAACCCUGAUCCAGCCAUGCCGCGUGUGUGAAGAAGGCCCUCGGGUUGUAAAGCACUUUCAGUGAGGAAGAACGCCUGGUGGUUAAUACCCAUCAGGAAAGACAUCACUCACAGAAGAAGCACCGGCUAACUCCGUGCCAGCAGCCGCGGUAAUACGGAGGGUGCGAGCGUUAAUCGGAAUUACUGGGCGUAAAGCGCGCGUAGGUGGCUUGAUAAGCCGGUUGUGAAAGCCCCGGGCUCAACCUGGGAACGGCAUCCGGAACUGUCAAGCUAGAGUGCAGGAGAGGAAGGUAGAAUUCCCGGUGUAGCGGUGAAAUGCGUAGAGAUCGGGAGGAAUACCAGUGGCGAAGGCGGACUUCUGGACUGACACUGACACUGAGGUGCGAAAGCGUGGGUAGCAAACAGGAUUAGAUACCCGUGUAGUC
RNAcentral lists this ribosomal RNA (465 nucleotides) under Vreelandella stevensii. RNAcentral's name for it is "partial 16S ribosomal RNA". It matches the Rfam family "Bacterial small subunit ribosomal RNA", at positions 338 to 795 of the family's 1533-position model. The record is from RNAcentral. Lineage: Bacteria; Pseudomonadati; Pseudomonadota; Gammaproteobacteria; Oceanospirillales; Halomonadaceae.